RNAcentral lists this unclassified non-coding RNA (899 nucleotides) under Portunus trituberculatus (swimming crab). RNAcentral's name for it is "mIP18 family protein galla-2-like, transcript variant X3". Lineage: Eukaryota; Metazoa; Arthropoda; Malacostraca; Decapoda; Portunidae. The record is from RNAcentral.
AGACCACUGAGAGAGUCUGACCCUGAGAUGAACUAACUCACUCAGACACACACACUGACACACACACACAGACAGCUGACGGGGCGCCUGGGUUACCGCUACGUAUUGUGUUAAUUUCUCCUUUCCUGCUCGUAAUAGCCUUCCUGGGAGAGGGCUAGAAGGAUGUGUGGGUGAUGGCUGAUGCCGAACCAGAAGGCCAGCCGCAGGAAGAGCAGCAAUUACAAGUGCAGAGGCAGCAGCAGCAACCCCUGCGUUCCAUCAUAUCACGGCAACAGAGCUACGUACGCUUCAUCAACAAAACACAGCGCAGUGUUAACGUGUUUUGGGUGAACUACGUGGGAAAGUUUCAGUUGUAUAAGACCCUUCCUCCCGGCAGCCAGUACGACAUCAACACCUACGUCACUCAUCCGUGGGUGUUCCGUGACGCUGAGACUGGUGCUGUGCUGCUGGUGAACUCUCUGGAGGUGUUCUAUCCCAAGCCAGUGUUCCCCGAGGGUCACGUUUUGUAUGGUCCAGUCAGCCCCUACAGAAUCCCGGUCUACAUCACUAUCCCCCUCUACACUCUGCUGGAAAGGGCUGCCCAGGUGGUGGGGUCGUGCCUGAAGAACCCCAAGCUGGCCCAAACGCUGGAUAUCCCCAAGAAUCUCGUGAGCGUCAUAGCGAAUUGGGUGGUGUGAGCAGUGCCGACACCCACACACCACUCACCACUCACCACUCCAGCGCCCUUGCCUCGUCAGUCACCGCAAGAUAAACACAGUGAGCCAGCCAUGAGGAUCGGAGACAAACUGGAGAAUCUCAACCCUCAGGUGUUUGCCGAGGCGGACCAGCGCAAGGAGAACCCCUCAGACUGGGACGACACAGUGAGGGACCCUGUUGAUAGCAGGGAGGUGUUCGACUUG